This is a long non-coding RNA of Cyprinus carpio carpio, 1478 nucleotides long. The record is from Ensembl. Lineage: Eukaryota; Metazoa; Chordata; Actinopteri; Cypriniformes; Cyprinidae.
CUUUCUAUAACAAAAUGUGAAGGUAUAGAAAUAAUAAUAAUAUUAAUAAUAAUAAUAAUAAUAAUAAUAAUAUUAUAUAUAUAUAUAUAUAUAUAUAUAUAUAUAUAUAUAUAUAUAUAUAUAUAUAUAUAUAUAUAUAUAUAUAUAUAUAUAUAUAGCCAAAAAUAGCAUUGAAUAUUUAAUUAAAUAAAAGUUAAUGUUAAACUUGACAGCCUCUAAAUCUUAUUUUGUAAGAUUUUGGUUUUAGACAUGCAGCAUCCCCUUAGGGUCCCCUGGUUUAGAUCAUAUGAAGCCGUAUAGUUAUUCAUGUGCAGACAAGAGCUGAAAUACCAUCAGAACCCUUGCUGGAAGGAAUACGAGGAAGACAAUGCCGAGAUGAUGUGGCUUUCCUCUGCAUGCGCACACAUCACCCUGCAUCCCUGCAGGAAAAUGCCCUUUAGAAUAAACGCAUCCUUUAUGCUGCUAUUUGAAGAUCGCUUUCCUGAGAGAUUCCUUUCCAGCGCAAUUCUCCAGAAAUGUAGCUCCUUCACCCCGGUAAAUAGCACUACACUCAAGCUCUCUGGCAGCAGUCCAUGUUUAUUAGAAAUUUUGACUUUUGGGGUGUUUUCUCUGCCUUUUUUUCCUUUUUUGAAAAGCAGGCCUUGUUUUGAAAAUCAACAAACAGAAAUCUGGCAAUGUGUGCCUCAUUUUAUCAAAUGGUACACAGCUUGGUAAUGGUCUCCCUUGACGAUUCCAGCUAAUCUAUGCUGAUGACCACAGGGACGGCGAUGAUUGUCAUGUUAGUAGGAAAAAAAAAAUCAGAACAAUCAUGUUGCGUCAGUUCUACCAUUAAAAGACUUGCUUCUCUGCAAAUUUCUGCACGCAGUAAUUAAUACUCUGGGGCUUGCCUUCACCAGACUGGUACUCCAGGCAACGAGAUGCCACUCACCUGAUAAUUAUUUUAGGAAACCAUGCACAACUGAAUGUGAUUGACAAAUGCAACAUUGCUGUAAUUGCCUGAAGCAUACAGCGAGGGAGGGAGGAGGAGAGAGAGAGGAACAAGGAGUUAAUGCCCCACUGUCAAAUGAAAGGGAAACUAAAGAGGAAGUCCUACGGAGAUCUUGUCAUUCUCUACAACAAAGGUGGACACUUACAGGUGUAAGGUCAGACGUAUUUGCUGAGUGCCACUUCUGAUUGCAUCUGGCUCUGCUAUCAGACAUGCAUGGGAACCGGCGCUAGGAAUUACUUUGAGACUGCAGGCUGCCAAGCAACAAGGUGAAUUACUACAUUAUUUGAACAAGUCAAGCUACUGCUGUGAAAAAGUAGGCUGUGCUACAAGUUUGUAAUAAAAAGUAGCUGUUAAGGGGGUAAUAUGUUUUGUAACCUUCUAAUGCAUGCUGGACAGAUCAUUAAAUGGCAUCCACACCAUUGCUAAACCCCACAAAAAUUCUUUAUGACUAGCCAUUUUAUGCCAUUUAUGUCAUAUAUAUAUAUAUAUA